GACGAACGCUGGCGGCGUGCUUAACACAUGCCAGUCGAACGGAAAGGCCCUGCUUUUGUGGGGUGCUCGAGUGGCGAACGGGUGAGUAACACGUGUGUAACCUGCCCUUGACUUUGGGAUAACUUCAGGAAACUGGGGCUAAUACCGGAUAGGAGCUCCUGCUGCAUGGUGGGGGUUGGAAAGUUUCGGCGGUUGGGGAUGGACUCGCGGCUUAUCAGCUUUGUGGUGGGGUAGGGGCUUACCAAGGCUUUGACGGGUAGCCGGCCUGAGAGGGUGACCGGCCACAUUGGGACUGAGAUACGGCCCAGACUCCUACGGGAGGCAGCAGUGGGGAAUAUUGCACAAUGGGCGGAAGCCUGAUGCAGCAACGCCGCGUGCGGGAUGACGGCCUUCGGGUUGUAAACCGCUUUCGCCUGUGACGAAGCGUGAGUGACGGUAAUGGGUAAAGAAGCACCGGCUAACUACGUG
RNAcentral lists this ribosomal RNA (468 nucleotides) under uncultured bacterium. Its description in RNAcentral is "partial 16S ribosomal RNA". It matches the Rfam family "Bacterial small subunit ribosomal RNA", at positions 28 to 507 of the family's 1533-position model. The record is from RNAcentral.